GAUUAAAUAAACAAGAUACAACAUGCUAAUUCAUGAGCUUUAGAGGUGCUGACAAAUGAAAGUGGCAGCCAACACAGUGAGUCUUUGCUGGUGCAGUGUGAGGAGAAAAUUGGUCAUUGUGAGAAGGGUAUGCUGGAUCUGACCCUGGCUACAACCAGACAUGCAAGUGUGAAAUCCAGUUGAAAGGAACACACUAGUAAGAAUCAGAAACAGGUUCAUGAGUAUGAGAAAGUAUUGCAGAGUGGCAGGCAGGGGACUGCGCCCAGUCAUGGCGGACCACAGAAACAAGAUCCGACGAGCCACCCAGCAGGAGAGGAAGAUGGCGACAGUCUUUACUGCAGACUACGAAGGACUAUACUCGAUCCAUAGAAAAGCGGUGGGAGUAGUCUGCGAUUCAACACAACAAAACCAAG
RNAcentral lists this long non-coding RNA (413 nucleotides) under Sander lucioperca (pikeperch). RNAcentral's name for it is "lncRNA (ENSSLUG00000016120.1)". The record is from RNAcentral. Lineage: Eukaryota; Metazoa; Chordata; Actinopteri; Perciformes; Percidae.